This 1315-nucleotide ribosomal RNA is filed under the name Argopericonia indirae. RNAcentral describes it as "LSU rRNA". It matches the Rfam family "Eukaryotic large subunit ribosomal RNA", at positions 76 to 1412 of the family's 3401-position model. Lineage: Eukaryota; Fungi; Ascomycota; Eurotiomycetes. The record is from RNAcentral.
UGCCUCAGUAACGGCGAGUGAAGCGGCAAUAGCUCAAAUUUGAAAUCUGGCCUCUCGGGGUCCGAGUUGUAAUUUGUAGAGGAUGUUUCGGGUACCGCCCCGGUUUAAAUUUCUUGGAACAGAAUGUCAGAGAGGGUGAGAAUCCCGUCUUGGACCGGCGGUAGGGCCUAUGUGAAACUCCUUCGACGAGUCGAGUUGUUUGGGAAUGCAGCUCAAAAUGGGUGGUAAAUUUCAUCUAAAGCUAAAUAUUGGCCAGAGACCGAUAGCGCACAAGUAGAGUGAUCGAAAGAUGAAAAGCACUUUGAAAAGAGAGUUAAACAGUAUGUGAAAUUGUUGAAAGGGAAGCGCUUGCAACCAGACUUGAGCGCGACGGUUCCCCUAGCCUUUUGGCUAGGUUACUCUGUCGUGUCCAGGCCAACAUCGGUUCUGAGGGUCGGUCAAAGGCUCUGGGAAUGUAUCUACCCACGGGUAGACUUAUAGACCAGGGUGUCAUGCGACCUCUCGGGACCGAGGAACGCGCUUCGGCUCGGAUGUUGGCGUAAUGGUUGUCAGCGACCCGUCUUGAAACACGGACCAAGGAGUCUAACAUCUAUGCGAGUGUUUGGGUGUCAAACCCGGAACGCGGAAUGAAAGUGAACGGAGGUAGGAAGCUUCGGCUGCACUAUCGACCGAUCCUGAAGUUUACGGAUGGAUUUGAGUAAGAGCAUAGCUGUUGGGACCCGAAAGAUGGUGAACUAUGCCUGAAUAGGGUGAAGCCAGAGGAAACUCUGGUGGAGGCUCGCAGCGGUUCUGACGUGCAAAUCGAUCGUCAAAUUUGGGUAUAGGGGCGAAAGACUAAUCGAACCAUCUGGUAGCUGGUUCCUGCCGAAGUUUCCCUCAGGAUAGCAGUAACGUUUUCAGUUUUAUGAGGUAAAGCGAAUGAUUAGAGGCCUUGGGGUUGAAACAACCUUAACCUAUUCUCAAACUUUAAAUAUGUAAGAAGUCCUUGUUACUUAAUUGAACGUGGACAUUUGAAUGUACCGUUACUAGUGGGCCAUUUUUGGUAAGCAGAACUGGCGAUGCGGGAUGAACCGAACGUGAGGUUAAGGUGCCGGAAUGCACGCUCAUCAGACACCACAAAAGGUGUCAAUGCAUCUAGACAGCCGGACGGUGGCCAUGGAAGUCGGAAUCCGCUUAGGAGUGUGUAACAACUCACCGGCCGAAUGCAUUGGCCCUGAAAAUGGAUGGCGCUUAAGCGUGCUACCUAUACCUCGCCGUUAGGGUUGACAUGAUGCCCUAACGAGUAGGCAGGCGUGGAGGUCCGUGACGAAGCCUU